Molecule: ribosomal RNA, 376 nt
Filed under: uncultured bacterium
Lineage: Bacteria
Description: bacterial SSU rRNA
Rfam family: Bacterial small subunit ribosomal RNA
Source: RNAcentral
UACGUAGGUGGCGAGCGUUAUCCGGAAUUACUGGGCGUAAAGCGCAAGCAGGCGGCGACCUAAGUCUGACGUGAAAUCUCCUGGCUUAACUGGGAGAGGUCGUUGGAAACUGGGUUGCUUGAGGCGAUGAGAGGGGUGUGGAAUUCCCGGUGUAGUGGUGGAAUGCGUAGAUAUCGGGAGGAACACCAGAGGCGGAAGCGGCACCCUGGCAUUAGCCUGACGCUGAGAUGCGAAAGCGUGGGGAGCAAACGGGAUUAGAUACCCCGGUAGUCCACGCUGUAAACGAUGAAUACUGGGUGUAGGGGGGGUUAGAUCCCUCUGUGCCGAAGCUAACGCGAUAAGUAUUCCGCCUGGGGAGUACGGCCGCAAGGCUAAA